This 324-nucleotide ribosomal RNA is filed under the name uncultured bacterium. RNAcentral describes it as "bacterial SSU rRNA". It matches the Rfam family "Bacterial small subunit ribosomal RNA", at positions 28 to 332 of the family's 1533-position model. The record is from RNAcentral.
GAUGAACGCUGGCGGCGUGCUUAACACAUGCAAGUCGAACGAAGCACUUAAUGAGAUUUCUUCGGAUUGAUUAUUUUGUGACUGAGUGGCGGACGGGUGAGUAACGCGUGGGUAACCUGCCCUGUACACACGGAUAACAUACCGAAAGGUAUGCUAAUACGAGAUAAUAUGCUUUUAUCGCAUGGUAGAAGUAUCAAAGCUUUUGCGGUACAGGAUGGACCCGCGUCUGAUUAGCUAGUUGGUAAGGUAACGGCUUACCAAGGCGACGAUCAGUAGCCGACCUGAGAGGGUGAGUCGGCCACAUUGGAACUGAGACACGGUACC